AUGUCUGGAAUAUCUGAAGUUAAACUCCAGGCUCUCCACCUUGGAAGCGAAGCAGGGCCUGGUUCGUACUUGGAUGGGAGACUUUCGCUCUGAAGUUCAGGAUUUURGAUGUU
This 113-nucleotide ribosomal RNA is filed under the name Amphilophus citrinellus (Midas cichlid). Lineage: Eukaryota; Metazoa; Chordata; Actinopteri; Cichliformes; Cichlidae. The record is from RNAcentral.